This 396-nucleotide ribosomal RNA is filed under the name uncultured bacterium. RNAcentral's name for it is "bacterial SSU rRNA". It matches the Rfam family "Bacterial small subunit ribosomal RNA", at positions 957 to 1353 of the family's 1533-position model. The record is from RNAcentral.
UAACGCGAAGAAACCUAUCCAGGUCUUGACAUCUUUUGCUAACCUAAGAGAUUAGGCGUUCCCUUCGGGGACGGAAUGACAGGUGGUGCAUGGUUGUCGUCAGCUCGUGUCGUGAGAUGUUGGGUUAAGUCCCGCAACGAGCGCAACCCUUAUUGUCAGUUGCCAGCAUUUAGUUGGGCACUCUGGCGAGACUGCCGGUGACAAACCGGAGGAAGGUGGGGAUGACGUCAAAUCAUCAUGCCCCUUAUGACCUGGGCUACACACGUGCUACAAUGGACGGUACAACGAGUCGCGAAACCGCGAGGUCAAGCUAAUCUCUUAAAGCCGUUCUCAGUUCGGAUUGUAGGCUGCAACUCGCCUACAUGAAGUUGGAAUCGCUAGUAAUCGUGGAUCAGC